This 1439-nucleotide long non-coding RNA is filed under the name Linum usitatissimum (flax). RNAcentral's name for it is "long non-coding RNA (LUSI_LNC007852)". Lineage: Eukaryota; Viridiplantae; Streptophyta; Magnoliopsida; Malpighiales; Linaceae. The record is from RNAcentral.
UUUGAUUGGUUGUCUAUUUUUCAAUUUUGCCUUUUUACUAUCCUCAUAAUGUUUGAUUAUAAAUGCAUGCAUUGAUUGAACGUGGAUUGUAAUAGUAUAGUGGCUGAAUGUUUGUAUGUCAAGCUUGGCCAACAGUGUAUCAUGAUGAUGCAGCUGAGUAGCCUGCUCCUACUGCCAAGGAAGCUGCUGAGGAAAAUUAUGUUUAUCAAGCAGUCUGCUGCUGGUGCCGAGGUAAACUGCCCUCGCUGUUGGGAGUCUGUCACUGCUACAUCGACUCCCACAUGCCAACUGGUAAUGGUUGUGGCUACUGGUAUGGUGUUGUCCUGAACCGGUGGCAUUUGCAUCAUCAUCUACUCAUACACCCACACCACGUCCUCCUCAUAGGCCUCGAUGAACAGCUGGAGCACUAUGGCGGCUAUGUUGAGCAACAAUUCCUCUCUUCGGAGGCUCAGAGGUCGAGGUUGAUGUCCAUCUAUUGAAGUAUAUUGGCUCCUAUGAGCUCCGUCGGUGGUGACGCUGGAUCCUUGUUGCGUGCCUGGUCCCAUUGGUUCCGAAGGCGUUUGGCGUAGAUAAUUCUUGCAUAAGUCCGUCUUGAUGCCAUACAUCCUCUGGUCAGGGAACGUUCUCGACUGGGAACUGAAAGACUUCCUCCUCAAAAGACUCGGCCAAGUAGCCGGAUAGGGGGAAGGUGGCUGGGCUCGACUAGUGGAGCCUUUGGUAGUGGAGCCCUUGGUGAGACGUCCUCACUUACUGCAAGAAAAAAAUCCAUAACAAAAGCACAAAAACACCACCCCAUACUUAUCUGAAUCAACAUAAGGCACAAUAUAAUAUAAAGGCACAAAUGGCAAUAAACCCAUCAACAUUGAGAUUUAACAUAAUCAAAAAGCACAAUCCACCGCCAAAUAGCAACAGGAAUAUCAAAUACAUCAUAUCAAGAGCAAGUUCAGCAAAACAAAGCGAUUUCAAACAAAGACGGCAAAACCAACGACUGAAAUUCAACAUUAUGCCAUCCAAAAGUCAAUCAAUGUGCAAAUCAUAUCACAACGUUCCUACCAUACUCAAUUUCAUCCCAGCACAUCCAAUUCCUGACCCCUAACUUUGAAAAAUUAGGACCAUCCUUUUAAUCUUUAAUCACACAAAUCGAUUCAGUUUGGACAAUGCAAGCAUAGGAAACGAUGCAGGAGGAUUCAGGGGCACAUACUUGACGUUAACCAUGGAAAAUAAUUGGGAAGAGCAAGCAAACUCGUCAAAGUUUGAGGAUGGGAGAAAAAUGGUGGAAAACUCGACCCAGCUUGCUUAACACAUUAAUGUUGGUCAGGAUAAGAUUGUCGUUUGGCGGCGAGCUAAGCUGCGGCGACGAGGCAGAAAGGAGGUAAAGUUGAUGGUGGUUCGCGGGUUUGGGAGGGAGAGUUAGAAGAGCUGGUAAAAAAUAAGAGAAU